GUGAGCUCUUGCCAAGAGAACAGAUGGCCAGGCUGUGUCCAGCUUUAUCUCCUAAGGAGGUAUAUUUCCUUUUGCAGCUCACAACCUCCAAGAACAAGUGGCCUAUGAGACAAGAAUUUGGCAUUGGCUGGUCAAAAUUUCUCCAAACCAGUUUCUCUAUAGGCAUCAGGAAAAUUGAAGAGAAAUAGAAGAUAAGAAGGGGGAAAAAACUACGGUAAAACGCAAGACAAAAAAUGAAAACAGAGGAUGUAGUAUUUGGAACAAAUCCUUUCUACCAAGUAUUAAUGAAUUCCCACACCAUGAGAAAUGUGCUUAAGCCCAAUUCUAACAUGUCUAAUUUAGGUGCUAAUAAAUAAUUAUUUGCUUUAAUAUACUCCUUUCUUGCAAAAGUUUUAUGUAGUAAUAAUAAUAAUACUAAUAAGUUGCUAACAUGUACUGAAUGCAUACCGUGUGCUUGGCAUUGCUGUUUCACAUAUAUUAACUUAUUCUUCACAACCACCCUAUGAGGUAGAUACUAUUUUAUUAUCCCCAUUUUAUAGAUGAGGAACUGAGACACUGAUAAAUGAAGUAAUUUUCCUCUUGUCCCAAACCACUAGGAAAGAGUAAAUCUAAGAUUCUUCCUUUCAUCUUCAUAAUCCCUUCAGGUAGAUAAGAGUAUCCCCACCUUACAAGUGAGGCUCACUGAAGCCAUGUGAUUAGCCCAAGGCAUCAAAUAACAGCAGAUCUAGUAAGAGAAGAAGGAGGAUUGGGACUGGGUCUCUCCACACAUCUGACAGGUUGUCUCCCAGAAAGUGGGGCCAUGGCCAUCCCUCAUUCCGUGAAGUAUUCCUUCAGAGGAGUCUUAACUGAGUUCCUGGAAAACUCAAUCGCGAACAGUGAAAAGAGAUCUAUUCUGGAUAAUUUUGGUCUGGAAUACAUUUCCAGUCACUUUGAUCUGAUAAAUAUCAGACAAGACUCAGAAAUACUAAUAUACACUUAUUAAGAAUUCAAUCAACUAAAAAUCCCAACCUAUAGAAAGUUUUGUUUACAUACUAUUGUUAUAAAACCCAAAUCACAAGGAAAGAUGCUGAUUAAAGAAACUUGUCUUCAAACCAACUUUUGUUCUUAUAUCUUCUUUAGUAUGUCCUAUGUUACUUUUGCCCUUGACCUUCACUUUUAGUUGUAUUAAAUGAAAAGCAGACUUGGAAGAUUCUUCUAAAUCAGUGAUAACCAAUACAUAACCAGUGGCCACCACCCUCCUCUUGUGUCUGUGGCAGAUAUAAAUUGCUCACAAGCUCUUUCAUUCUGAUCCAUAAGAAUCUAUCUCAGCACCAUACUCCCAGCAGCCCUUACCAAUCAAAAACAAUUGGUAAGCAUGUUAAAACCUACUUGUAACCUUUAUUCUAGAGAUGUUUAGUAUCUGUCUCCUCU
This 1410-nucleotide long non-coding RNA is filed under the name Homo sapiens (human). Its description in RNAcentral is "HSALNT0043741". The record is from RNAcentral. Lineage: Eukaryota; Metazoa; Chordata; Mammalia; Primates; Hominidae.